RNAcentral lists this ribosomal RNA (460 nucleotides) under uncultured bacterium. RNAcentral's name for it is "partial 16S ribosomal RNA". It matches the Rfam family "Bacterial small subunit ribosomal RNA", at positions 338 to 795 of the family's 1533-position model. The record is from RNAcentral.
CCUACGGGAGGCAGCAGUGAGGAAUAUUGGUCAAUGGACGAGAGUCUGAACCAGCCAAGUAGCGUGAAGGAUGACUGCCCUAUGGGUUGUAAACUUCGUUUAUAUGGGAAUAAAAUGGUCCACGUGUGGGAUUUUGUAUGUACCAUAUGAAUAAGGAUCGGCUAACUCAGUGCAAGCAGCCGGGGUAAUACGAAGGAUCCGAGCGUUAUCCUGAUUUAUUGGGUUUAAAGGGAGCGUAGGUGGAUUGUUAAGUUAGUUGUGAAAAUUAGCGGCUCAACCGUAAAAUUGCAGUUGAUACUGGCAGUCUUGAGUACAGUAGAGGUGGGCGGAAUUCGUGGUGUAGCGGUGAAAUGCUUAGAUAUCACGAAGAACUCCGAUUGCGAAGGCAGCUCACUGGACUGCAACUGACACUGAGGCUCGAAAGUGUGGGUAUCAAACAGGAUUAGAUGCCCCAGUAGUC